Long non-coding RNA from Xenia sp. Carnegie-2017, 830 nucleotides. RefSeq lists it as uncharacterized. Lineage: Eukaryota; Metazoa; Cnidaria; Anthozoa; Malacalcyonacea; Xeniidae. The record is from RefSeq and is a predicted model, not a curated record. The transcript has 2 exons.
ACUACUGGACUCUUUAGUCACCGCGAGGAAUAGCUUUUACCUGUGUCACCUGUCUUACAGUUUUUCCUGCCAAUCAGGACUUGGGAAGUAGAUACAAUUAAGUUUCCAUCAACGCACAAAAAGCCCAAGUUAGCAGGCAACACUUCAUUCGAGCAUCCGUAGGAACGAAAAACAGACAAAGACACGGAAACAGCUAUAAAGCAUAGUCAUUUAAGCGAUACAUGGAAGACAUUAAUGUGCGCGGACUUGGUCUUGUCCACAAUAUGGCCAAUCUCAAAAAAGAAGCUUAUCUUGCCAAAUUUAAGACCGAAUUCAAUAACUGGGUUUUACCUGAAAUAAAGCAAAUGAAUGAUUUGUUAGACGAGCAAUCGUCAAAGAUGAAAGAAUUUCUUACAGCAAUCAAUCAACACGUGGGCAUACUUACUACAGAAGUGAGCAUCUUGAGAAACGAGAAUGUCGAACUGAGGGCAAGCAUUGACCACUUGAGGGAAACCAAUAACGGAUUUACAGAGCAGUUAGCAAAUAUGCAAAGGCAAAUUGACGAAUUGACGCGGAACAAUUCAACUUGAUUCAAUAACAUUUUGGGCUUUAAUAUUCGAGCAAUAUAUUCACACUUUUUAAAGCAGCUUGGCAAACACUAAACCUAUGUUACUUAACGUCUAAAAAGCACUUGAUAUCCGUCAAUUACCAUGUAAUAAUUUCACAAAAAUGGCUAGUUACGCCGUAAUUGUAAUUUUACUUGUAGAUAUAAACAUUGCUUAAUUUAAUAACUUCAUUUACCCUUGUAAUAAUUUGUAUAAAAAUAAAUUAAGGAAUAGCUAUACACAGUA